This 508-nucleotide ribosomal RNA is filed under the name uncultured bacterium. RNAcentral's name for it is "bacterial SSU rRNA". It matches the Rfam family "Bacterial small subunit ribosomal RNA", at positions 21 to 518 of the family's 1533-position model. The record is from RNAcentral.
GGCUCAGAUUGAACGCUGGCGGCAGGCCUAACACAUGCAAGUCGAACGGUAACAGGAAGCAGCUUGCUGCUUUGCUGACGAGUGGCGGACGGGUGAGUAAUGUCUGGGAAACUGCCCGAUGGAGGGGGAUAACUACUGGAAACGGUAGCUAAUACCGCAUAAUGUCGCAAGACCAAAGAGGGGGACCUUCGGGCCUCUUGCCAUCGGAUGUGCCCAGAUGGGAUUAGCUAGUUGGUGAGGUAACGGCUCACCAAGGCGACGAUCCCUAGCUGGUCUGAGAGGAUGACCAGCCACACUGGAACUGAGACACGGUCCAGACUCCUACGGGAGGCAGCAGUGGGGAAUAUUGCACAAUGGGCGCAAGCCUGAUGCAGCCAUGCCGCGUGUAUGAAGAAGGCCUUCGGGUUGUAAAGUACUUUCAGCGGGGAGGAAGGGGUUAAGGUUAAUAACCUUAGCCAUUGACGUUACCCGCAGAAGAAGCACCGGCUAACUCCGUGCCAGCAGCGGC